UACGGGGGGUGCAAGCGUUGUUCGGAAUUACUGGGCGUAAAGGGCUCGUAGGCGGCCAACUAAGUCAGACGUGAAAUCCCUCGGCUUAACCGGGGAACUGCAUCUGAUACUGGAUGGCUUGAGUUCGGGAGAGGGAUGCGGAAUUCCAGGUGUAGCGGUGAAAUGCGUAGAUAUCUGGAGGAACACCGGUGGCGAAGGCGGUUCUCUGGGCAUGUCCUGACGCUGAGGAGCGAAAGUGUGGGGAGCGAACAGG
This 253-nucleotide ribosomal RNA is filed under the name uncultured bacterium. Its description in RNAcentral is "partial 16S ribosomal RNA". It matches the Rfam family "Bacterial small subunit ribosomal RNA", at positions 524 to 776 of the family's 1533-position model. The record is from RNAcentral.